UCUCUCAGCCCUUUUAAGCAUAUCAAGCAGAGCCUGUCUACCACAUAACCGACGAAUGCCCCUCCGUGUAUGCUCAAUUUGUCCUACAUUGGGGUUAACAACUGAUCCAUCAAGAACUUGCUCUAUUUGACCCACAAGUUCAGCACCAUGCUCUUGUCUAUGGUCAACACAAGUACCUCUCUGUCGGCUGUUCAUUUGUACCCACUCCCUUAUAAUUCUUACCCUCUCCUGCUC
RNAcentral lists this unclassified non-coding RNA (234 nucleotides) under Hevea brasiliensis (rubber tree). The record is from RNAcentral. Lineage: Eukaryota; Viridiplantae; Streptophyta; Magnoliopsida; Malpighiales; Euphorbiaceae.